GGUACUUACACCGACCGCUGACGGCUGACGUUCGCCAUGAUUUGGAUAGUUGUGAAAGAUGUCCUUCUUCUGAGCACGAAGGAAGUACACCAUGCUGAUUGUAUUUGACACCAUGCAAGCCCUAACAGUUGGGGAAGGCCAACUCAUUUAUGUUUGGCCACUGCUCAAUCUGAAGGGUGCUGUCGUGUUUAAAGUUUAUGGUUCUUGUCAGAAGAUUUAUUGUAGUUUGUAUUUAAUAUUUUCCCAAUUGUGUUCAAAAUUUUAGACUUGGUUAUCAAGCUGAUUUUUUUUAAUGUCGGAGCUUUAGCUUUAGUUUGUACCAGUGAGUAAUGAAAUAUACAAAUAUGAAUGAUA
Long non-coding RNA from Daphnia pulicaria, 354 nucleotides. RefSeq lists it as uncharacterized. The transcript has 2 exons. NCBI's taxonomy places the organism in Eukaryota, Metazoa, Arthropoda, Branchiopoda, Diplostraca, Daphniidae. The record is from RefSeq and is a predicted model, not a curated record.